AGAGUUUGAUCCUGGCUCAGGACGAACGCUGGCGGUGUGCUUCACACAUGCAAGUCGAACGGAGUAGCAAUACUCAGUGGCGGACGGGUGAGUAACACGUGGGAAUCUACCAUUAGGUGGGGAACAACAGGCCGAAAGGACUGCUAAUGCCGCAUAUGUAGGCAUCUCGACAGAGAUGUUUAUGAAAGGAGUAAUCCGCCUUUUGAUGAGCCCGCGUCCGAUUAGCUAGUUGGUAGGGUAAAAGCCUACCAAGGCGACGAUCGGUAGGUGGUCUGAGAGGAUGAUCACCCACAAUGGGACUGAGACACGGCCCAUACUCCUACGGGAGGCAGCAGUGGGGAAUUUUACGCAAUGGGGGAAACCCUGACGUAGCGACACCGCGUGAGCGAAGAAGCCCUUUGGGGUGUAAAGCUCUGUCAACAGGAACGAAACAAAUGACGGUACCUGUGGAGGAAGCAUCGGCUAACUACGUGCCAGCAGCCGCGGUAAGACGUAGGAUGCAAGCGUUGUCCGGAUUUAUUGGGCGUAAAGAGUUCGUAGGCGGUUUGUUAAGUCUGAUGUUAAAGACCGGGGCUCAACCUCGGAAAUGCAUUGGAUACUGGCAGACUGGAGUGCAGUAGAGGCUAGUGGAAUUCCCAGUGUAGCGGUGAAAUGCGUAGA
RNAcentral lists this ribosomal RNA (660 nucleotides) under uncultured bacterium. RNAcentral's name for it is "bacterial SSU rRNA". It matches the Rfam family "Bacterial small subunit ribosomal RNA", at positions 8 to 694 of the family's 1533-position model. The record is from RNAcentral.